GAAAAACGAAAGGUCUUUCUCUAACAAUCAUUCUAUUCGAUCUCAUCAUGAUGGCUCUUCUCUACUCCAGUGUCGGAGCGGCCGCGGCUGUCGGCCUCAUCGGAUACAAAGGGAACACCCACGUCCGGUGGAACAAGGUGUGUGACGUGUUUGGUAAAUUUUGUGGACAAGUCGUGGCGGCAAUUGCCAUUUCACUAGUUGGUUCUAUAUUGUUUUUGUUGUUGGUGUUGUUGGCUACGGUGAACCUCCAUAAGAACAUACGUCAUUAACAAGUUGACUUGAACACUAUAGUUUUUCUAUAUACUUAAGGUUAUUUUAUUGUAUUGUAUUAGAUAAUAACUAGGCUAUGGUGUUUUCUUUAAUUUAAUUUACACGUAC
Molecule: unclassified non-coding RNA, 378 nt
Filed under: Hevea brasiliensis (rubber tree)
Lineage: Eukaryota; Viridiplantae; Streptophyta; Magnoliopsida; Malpighiales; Euphorbiaceae
Source: RNAcentral